AACGUAGGACGCAAGCGUUAUCCGGAGUUACUGGGCGUAAAGCGCGUGUAGGCGGCAGCGUGUGUCGGGCGUGAAAUCCCACGGCUCAACCGUGGAAGUGCACCCGAAACUGCGCAGCUAGAGUCCUGGAGAGGAAGGUGGAAUACUUGGUGUAGAGGUGAAAUUCGUAGAUAUUCGGAAGAACACCAGUGGCGAAGGCGGCUCACUGGCCCGGUACUGACGCUGAGGUGCGAAAGCGUGGGGAGCAAACAGG
RNAcentral lists this ribosomal RNA (253 nucleotides) under uncultured bacterium. RNAcentral describes it as "partial 16S ribosomal RNA". It matches the Rfam family "Bacterial small subunit ribosomal RNA", at positions 524 to 776 of the family's 1533-position model. The record is from RNAcentral.